Molecule: ribosomal RNA, 249 nt
Filed under: uncultured organism
Description: partial 16S ribosomal RNA
Rfam family: Bacterial small subunit ribosomal RNA
Source: RNAcentral
UGGGGAAUAUUGGACAAUGGGGGCAACCCUGAUCCAGCAAUACCGCGUGUGUGAAGAAGGCCUAUGGGUUGUAAAGCACUUUCAGUAGGGAGGAGAGGCUUGUGGUUAAUACCCAUAAGCGGAGACGUUACCUACAGAAGAAGCACCGGCUAACUCUGUGCCAGCAGCCGCGGGAAUACGUAGGGGGCAAGCGUUGUCCGGAAUUAUUGGGCGUAAAGAGCUCGUACGUGGUUAGAUAGGGUGGAUGUG